UUUUAAUAGCUUAUUUAGAGCGUGAUAUUGAAGAUAUCAAAGAGGCUUUUUGUCUUAAAAUAU
Molecule: transfer RNA, 63 nt
Filed under: Conderis sp. UPOL A00607
Lineage: Eukaryota; Metazoa; Arthropoda; Insecta; Coleoptera; Lycidae
Description: tRNA-Phe
Source: RNAcentral